UCACCUAUGAAGCUGCCCUGUAAGGAGUAACUAUUGAAACAUCUGCUAAUGUUGAUGACAUGAAACCUCUCCAAGCAGAACCUGGAUAACAUGACCUUUUUGCCUAAGGGAGAAGUGAAAUCCUGAUAACCUCAUGUGAUGCCCUUAGAGCAUUUCUUGACCAGUCCUUCACAAAAAACCUGUCAAGACACUGAGGAUAAGAGCUUUUCUUUUGUUCCAAUGAAGAGCUAUUGAAAGACACAAGAGUGAGAAGAUGUAUUUUUAUUAAUAUGAAAACAUACUCUGCAUUGAAGGUGAAAGCAAAGAAGACUCGACUCGGGAACUCUUCUCCAAGCGGUUUAUUCAGGAACCUUGAAACAGUCUUCUUCUCCCCUGGGAAAACCAGCCCACAGCUUAUAUGGCCUAGGCAUAGCCAACCCCAGCACGCCACUUGGCGACAGCAGAUAGGUCCACAUACACUGAAGCAAGCUGUGGACCUGAGCCUUGACCAAAUAUGGAGUUGUUUACUCCGAGAGUGCUCACCGUUGGGAGGGUGGUAGGCAGGAGCUGGCGCCAUUUUUAAGAUCCUGAGUUUAAAAGUGGGAUAUUUUCUGGCCACUUUUAACAAGAACAGUUUGGGGCUGCCAAGGUGGCUCAGAGGUAAAGUGCUUGCCACACGAGCUUUCUGAUCUGGGUUUGAUCUCCAUAGAGCCUGUAUUAAGGUGGAAGGAGGAAUUCACUUCAUGAAGUUGACCUCUGACAUGCAAAUGCAUCUUGAAUCCUCUAGAAUGGCAGAAUUCUAAUUUCUGUAUAAGACUUGUCA
This is a long non-coding RNA of Mesocricetus auratus (golden hamster), 802 nucleotides long. RefSeq lists it as uncharacterized. The record is from RefSeq and is a predicted model, not a curated record. The transcript is spliced from 4 exons. Lineage: Eukaryota; Metazoa; Chordata; Mammalia; Rodentia; Cricetidae.